ACGGAAUAGAUACCCGGGUAGUCCACGCCCUAAACGAUGUCUACUAGUUGUCGGGUCUUAAUUGACUUGGUAAACGCAGCUAAACGCGUGAAAGUAGACCGCCUGGGGAGUACGGUCGCAAGAUUAAAACUCAAAGGAAUUGACGGGGACCCGCACAAGCGGUGGAUGAUGUGGAUUAAUUCGAUGCAACGCGAAAAACCUUACCUACCCUUGACAUGGAAGGAAUCCCUGAGAGAUCGGGGAGUGCUCGAAAGAGAACCUUUACACAGGUGCUGCAUGGCUGUCGUCAGCUCGUGUCGUGAGAUGUUGGGUUAAGUCCCGCAACGAGCGCAACCCUUGUCAUUAGUUGCCACGAAAGGGCACUCUAAUAAGACUGCCGGUGACAAACCGGAGGAAGGUGGGGAUGACGUCAAGUCCUCAUGGCCCUUAUGGGUAGGGCUUCACACGUCAUACAAUGGUACAUACAGAGGGCCGCCAACCCGCGAGGGGAGCUAAUCCCAGAAAGUGUAUCGUAGUCCGGAUUGUAGUCUGCAACUCGACUGCAUGAA
This 548-nucleotide ribosomal RNA is filed under the name uncultured bacterium. RNAcentral describes it as "bacterial SSU rRNA". It matches the Rfam family "Bacterial small subunit ribosomal RNA", at positions 773 to 1324 of the family's 1533-position model. The record is from RNAcentral.